UUUGUUGUUAAAAUCAAAAGCAAAAGCAGUGACUAGUGUGGAGGACCUGACCCCAACGAAGCACCCUUGCAAGCCAGUCAUCCUCGUCGAAAUGCCCUUCAUCUGUCUUGUCUUCACCGAUAACAACUUGAAGCCCCACAGAGUCAUUUUGCACCUGCACCGCAUUUGACGGCGUUGGUGGGGAUGCGAUGAUCUCUUUGUAAAGCUCUUGCAUGAACUUUUCUACCGUUUCUUCUUUGAAACAGAAUUGUCCGGCAUCAUUCUCCGUCUCGGUCAGAAUCUCGUCCAGCUUUCUGGUGAGAGCUUCGGUGGAGGAAGCAUUCUCUUCCAUAUCAAAGCCAUUUUCUCUCUCUAAGUCAGAGGCAACUACAACAACCGUGACUGAACAGUACUCUUGGUACUAAAUGAUAAAGAGCAACUGUGCGAUGCCACGCUGGUAAUGUGGUAGGCGUGGAACCAUGACCAAACCAUCACCCCUUCGCACAUGGAGACAAUGUUUCCCUACCGCGGCUGUCUAUCGCCCCACCUGGCAAUGAUUUGCGAUUCCCAUCUUUUAAUCAUCAGAUGCAAAAUUUGGAGAUGCCAUCAUACCUUUUACAAAUUACUUUAACA
Molecule: long non-coding RNA, 612 nt
Filed under: Glycine max (soybean)
Lineage: Eukaryota; Viridiplantae; Streptophyta; Magnoliopsida; Fabales; Fabaceae
Description: long non-coding RNA (GMAX_LNC001170)
Source: RNAcentral